AGAGUUUGAUCCUGGCUCAGGACGAACGCUGGCGGCGUGCCUAACACAUGCAAGUCGAACGGAGUUAAGCCCUUCGGGACUUAACUUAGUGGCGAACGGGUGAGUAACGCGUGAGAAACCUGCCUUUCAGUGGGGGACAACAGUUGGAAACGACUGCUAAUACCGCAUGACACUUCUUGAGGGCAUCCUUGAGAAGUCAAAGCUUUAUGUGCUGAAAGAUGGUCUCGCGUCUGAUUAGCUAGUUGGUGGGGUAACGGCCCACCAAGGCGACGAUCAGUAGCCGGUCUGAGAGGAUGAACGGCCACAUUGGGACUGAGAUACGGCCCAGACUCCUACGGGAGGCAGCAGUGGGGAAUAUUGGGCAAUGGGGGAAACCCUGACCCAGCAACGCCGCGUGAAGGAAGAAGGCCUUCGGGUUGUAAACUUCUUUUACCAGGGACGAAGAAAGUGACGGUACCUGGAGAAAAAGCAACGGCUAACUACGUGCCAGCAGCCGCGGUAAUACGUAGGUUGCAAGCGUUGUCCGGAUUUACUGGGUGUAAAGGGCGUGUAGGCGGAGCUGCAAGUCAGAUGUGAAAUCCCGGGGCUCAACCCCGGAACUGCAUUUGAAACUGUAGCCCUUGAGUAUCGGGGAGGCAAGCGGAAUUCCUAGUGUAGCGGUGAAAUGCGUAGAUAUUAGGAGGAACACCAGUGGCGAAGGCGGCUUGCUGCACGACAACUGACGCUGAGGCGCCAAAGCGUGGGGAGCAAACAGGAUUAGAUACACUGGUAGUCCACGGGGAGAACGAUGGAAAGUAGUGAUGGGAGGGAGAACCCGUUCCGGACCGCAGUUAACACAAUAAGUAUUCCACCUGGGGAGUACGGCAGCAAGGUUGAAACUCAAAGGAAUUGACGGGGGCCCGCACAAGCAGUGGAUUAUGUGUUUUAAUUGGACGCAACGCGAAGAACGUUACCAGGAUUUGACAUCCAACUAACGAAGCAGAGAUGCAUUAGGUGCCCUUCGGGGAAAGUUGAGACAGGUGGUGCAUGGUUGUCGUCAGCUCGUGUCGUGAGAUGAUGGGUUAAGUCCCGCAACGAGCGCAACCCCUAUUGUUAGUUGCUACGAAAGAGCACUUUAGCGAGACUGCCGUUGACAAAACGGAGGAAGGCGGGGACGACGUCAAAUCAUCAUGCCCCUUAUGUCGUGGGCUACACACGUAAUACAAUGGCCGUCAACAGAGGGAAGCGAAGCAGUGAGGUGGAGCAAAUCCCCAAAAACGGUAUCAGUUCGGAUUGCAGGCUGCAAAUCGCCUGCAUGAAGCUGGAAUUGCUAGUAAUCGCGGAUCAGCAUGCCGCGGUGAAUACGUUCACCGGGCAAAGUACACGCCGCCCGUC
RNAcentral lists this ribosomal RNA (1374 nucleotides) under uncultured bacterium. RNAcentral describes it as "bacterial SSU rRNA". It matches the Rfam family "Bacterial small subunit ribosomal RNA". The record is from RNAcentral.